GACGAACGCUGGCGGCGUGCUUAACACAUGCAAGUCGAACGGAAAGGCCCUGCUUUUGUGGGGUGCUCGAGUGGCGAACAGGUGAGUAACACGUGAGUAACCUGCCCUUGACUUUGGGAUAACUUCAGGAAACUGGGGCUAAUACCGGAUAGGAGCUCCUGCUGCAUGGUGGGGGUUGGAAAGUUUCGGCGGUUGGGGAUGGACUCGCGGCUUAUCAGCUUGUUGGUGGGGUAGUGGCUUACCAAGGCUUUGACGGGUAGCCGGCCUGAGAGGGUGACCGGCCACAUUGGGACUGAGAUACGGCCCAGACUCCUACGGGAGGCAGCAGUGGGGAAUAUUGCGCAAUGGGCGGAAGCCUGAUGCAGCAACGCCGCGUGCGGGAUGACGGCCUUCGGGUUGUAAACCGCUUUCGCCUGUGACGAAGCGUGAGUGACGGUAAUGGGUAAAGAAGCACCGGCUAACUACGUG
Molecule: ribosomal RNA, 468 nt
Filed under: uncultured bacterium
Lineage: Bacteria
Description: partial 16S ribosomal RNA
Rfam family: Bacterial small subunit ribosomal RNA
Source: RNAcentral